RNAcentral lists this ribosomal RNA (468 nucleotides) under uncultured bacterium. RNAcentral's name for it is "partial 16S ribosomal RNA". It matches the Rfam family "Bacterial small subunit ribosomal RNA", at positions 28 to 507 of the family's 1533-position model. The record is from RNAcentral.
GACGAACGCUGGCGGCGUGCUUAACACAUGCAAGUCGAACGGAAAGGCCCUGCUUUUGUGGGGUGCUCGAGUGGCGAACGGGUGAGUAACACGUGAGUAACCUGCCCUUGACUUUGGGAUAACUUCAGGAAACUGGGGCUAAUACCGGAUAGGAGCUCCUGCUGCAUGGUGGGGGUUGGAAAGUUUCGGCGGUUGGGGAUGGACUCGCGGCUUAUCAGCUUGUUGGUGGGGUAGUGGCUUACCAAGGCUUUGACGGGUAGCCGGCCUGAGAGGGUGACCGGCCACAUUGGGACUGAGAGACGGCCCAGACUCCUACGGGGGGCAGCAGUGGGGAAUAUUGCACAAUGGGCGGAAGCCUGAUGCAGCAACGCCGCGUGCGGGAUGACGGCCUUCGGGUUGUAAACCGCUUGCGCCUGUGACGAAGCGGGAGUGACGGUAAUGGGUGAAGAAGCACCGGCUAACUACGUG